This 555-nucleotide ribosomal RNA is filed under the name uncultured bacterium. RNAcentral describes it as "bacterial SSU rRNA". It matches the Rfam family "Bacterial small subunit ribosomal RNA", at positions 64 to 629 of the family's 1533-position model. The record is from RNAcentral.
ACGGGGUGCUCGCAAGAGCAACCGGCGAACGGGUGCGUAACACGUGAGUAACCUACCGAUUUGAGGGGGAUAGCUGGCCUAACGGCCAGGUAAUACCGCAUACGCUCGCUGCGUCACCUGGCGCGAUGAGGAAACCUCCGGGGCAGAUCGAGGGGCUCGCGGCCUAUCAGCUAGUUGGCGAGGUCACGGCUCACCAAGGCGACGACGGGUAGCUGGUCUGAGAGGAUGGCCAGCCACAUUGGGACUGAGAAACGGCCCAGACUCCUACGGGAGGCAGCAGUGGGGAAUCUUGCGCAAUGGGCGAAAGCCUGACGCAGCGACGCCGCGUGGGGGAUGAAGGUUUUCGGAUCGUAAACCCCUGUUUGCCCGGGACGAACUUCCUGAUUCGUCAGGAUUGACGGUACCGGGUGAGGAAGCACCGGCUAACUCUGUGCCAGCAGCCGCGGUAAUACAGAGGGUGCGAGCGUUGUCCGGAAUCACUGGGCGUAAAGGGCGCGUAGGUGGCGCAGGAAGUCGGUGGUGAAAGCUCGAUGCUUAACAUCGAGUCGGCCACCG